CUGAAUGUCAAACCAACAAAGCUACUAGCCUAUGGCAUUGGCAAACAAGUGUUGAUGAGGGAGGGAGGCCUUACAUGGCGAUGAAGAGCCUUAUCUCCCUUAGCCAAGAAUGACUUGCCUAUCUCUACUAUUUGGUCCAUCUGGGAGCCUUCAUAUGAUGGAUGAAAGGUGGAUGAUGGCAAGCAUUCUGGUUAAGCGAGUGAUUCUCUUCCACCAUGCUAGGCUAACCCUCUUUCUAAUCCUCCGUCUGCACAUCAAAAAGACCUUCUCAUCAGAACCAGCACUUCCAACAACAUAGCAGCCAGUGAGCUUAGCAAGCUGCUCAACAAUUUGACCAACGGCGCCUGCUGCCGCUGAAUUGAAGACAGUCUCCUUUCUUAGCCUUGGCCACAACAUAAAGUCCUACGUAAGCAGUAAGGCUGGCAUACCUGAAUGAUGGUUGUGGUUGUAGCAUACAGUUAGGGGGAAAAACAACUUUGCAUUCUGUAACACUUGAGGAUUUUGAAUGAGGUUCGUUGUCUUCCCGGCCGGGGAAACAGAUUAUAGCGUCUAUUUGGAUCAUUGGAGAAGCUUCUGAAUGAUUAAAGAUGACAUUCUGCUGGCGAUGCGCAAGAGUGAGAACUGAAAAUCAGCUCAUCAAGAACACCUGUAUAGUAAGAGAGGGGCAUUUCGGAGUGUUUGAUCUUUAAAAGAGACUCUGGUUUAGUGAUGAUGCAAGUGAGUUCCUCCCAUCCGGUUCUUCCCCACACGAGAUCGCCUACCUUGAAAUCCGGCCGGAUGCUACCACCUUGCUCACACCAUAACCAGCUAGAACCUGAUUUUUUUUUGGUCGAGUGAGACAACAAGAUUAUUCUAAGGUUUCAUUUUGUAAAAAAAAAUGUUGAACGGAAGAAGACAGCUUUGAAGCUGAACAGUGCACAAUUCUUCUCCAGAACAAUUACGUGUCGAAUGUAUCUUCGAGCAAUGUAUAAUAAUGUUUGGUGAAAUGGGAAACCAUCUGUCCAUGCCUAUGGCAUGGUACGGCA
Long non-coding RNA from Panicum virgatum (switchgrass), 1025 nucleotides. RefSeq lists it as uncharacterized. The transcript is spliced from 2 exons. The record is from RefSeq and is a predicted model, not a curated record. NCBI's taxonomy places the organism in Eukaryota, Viridiplantae, Streptophyta, Magnoliopsida, Poales, Poaceae.